GGAUUAUGCAAAUUAUUACAAUGAUCCUUUUGUAAAACAAGAUAAUAGAAUCUAAAAUAAGAUGAUAUUUUCCGUCAAUCUGGUUAAGCAGUAGGCCCCAAAGUAUUCUUAAUUUGGUAUAUCAAUUUGUAAAGAAUUAGCUUUGAUUCUUUCCUUGCUCGGAAGAUGCUAAUCAUCUUUGAAUUGUGAUUGAAAAAUCUUCUUGAAGAAAUAUUAGACUGGAAAAAUUGAGCCAAUGGAUUGACA
RNAcentral lists this unclassified non-coding RNA (246 nucleotides) under Hevea brasiliensis (rubber tree). Lineage: Eukaryota; Viridiplantae; Streptophyta; Magnoliopsida; Malpighiales; Euphorbiaceae. The record is from RNAcentral.